Small nucleolar RNA from Grus americana (Whooping crane), 85 nucleotides. RefSeq annotates it as small nucleolar RNA SNORD45. NCBI's taxonomy places the organism in Eukaryota, Metazoa, Chordata, Aves, Gruiformes, Gruidae. The record is from RefSeq and is a predicted model, not a curated record. The transcript has a single exon.
GGUCAGUGGUGAGCGUUGGUAUGUAUGAUCUGCUCUGCAGUUGAUAUUUAUCACCACUUUCAUUCUAGAAUUACUCUGAGAACCA